Molecule: ribosomal RNA, 253 nt
Filed under: uncultured bacterium
Lineage: Bacteria
Description: partial 16S ribosomal RNA
Rfam family: Bacterial small subunit ribosomal RNA
Source: RNAcentral
UACAGAGGGUGCAAGCGUUAAUCGGAAUUACUGGGCGUAAAGCGCGCGUAGGCGGAUAAAUAAGUUGGGUGUGAAAUCCCUGGGCUUAACCUAGGAAUUGCAUUCAAAACUGUUUGUCUAGAGUACAGGAGAGGAGGGCAGAAUUUCCGGUGUAGCGGUGAAAUGCGUAGAUAUCGGAAGGAAUACCAGUGGCGAAGGCGACCCUCUGGACUGUGACUGACGCUGAGGUGCGAAAGCGUGGGGAGCAAAAGGG